This 523-nucleotide ribosomal RNA is filed under the name uncultured Archaeospora. RNAcentral describes it as "SSU rRNA". It matches the Rfam family "Eukaryotic small subunit ribosomal RNA", at positions 569 to 1093 of the family's 1831-position model. The record is from RNAcentral. Lineage: Eukaryota; Fungi; Glomeromycota; Glomeromycetes; Archaeosporales; Archaeosporaceae.
AGCAGCCGCGGUAAUUCCAGCUCCAAUAGCGUAUAUUAAAGUUGUUGCAGUUAAAAAGCUCGUAGUUGAAUUUUGGAUUCUUCCAAUUGGUCCAUCUUUUAGAUGAGUACUGGUUGUGUGGGGUCUAUCCGCCUGGUAAUACGUAAUGUCCUUUAUUGGAUGUUGCGGGUAGUCAGGACCUUUACCUUGAAAAAAUUAGAGUGUUUAAAGCAGGCUUAUGCCGGAAUACAUUAGCAUGGAAUAAUAGAAUAGGACGAAGUUGUUUUAUUUUGUUGGUUUCUAGGACAACCGUAAUGAUUAAUAGGGAUAGUUGGGGGCAUUAGUAUUCAAUUGUCAGAGGUGAAAUUCUUGGAUUUAUUGAAGACUAACUACUGCGAAAAGCAUUUGCCAAGGAUGUUUUCAUUAAUCAAGAACGAAAGUUGGGGGAUCGAAGACGAUCAGAUACCGUCGUAGUCUUAACCAUAAACUAUGCCGACUAGGGAUCGGGCGAUGUUGUUUCCAUGACUCGCUCGGCACCUUAUGG